GAUGAACGCUAGCGGGAGGCCUAACACAUGCAAGCCGAGCGGUAUUGUUUCUUCGGAAAUGAGAGAGCGGCGUACGGGUGCGUAACACGUGUGCAACCUGCCUUUAUCUGGGGGAUAGCCUUUCGAAAGGAAGAUUAAUACUCCAUAAUAUAUUGAACGGCAUCGUUUAAUAUUGAAAGCUCCGGCGGAUAGAGAUGGGCACGCGCAAGAUUAACUAGUUGGUGAGGUAACGGCUCACCAAGGCGAUGAUCUUUAGGGGGCCUGAGAGGGUGAUCCCCCACACUGGUACUGAGACACGGACCAGACUCCUACGGGAGGCAGCAGUGAGGAAUAUUGGUCAAUGGGUGCAAGCUUGAACCAGCCAUCCCGCGUGAAGGACGACUGCCCUAUGGGUUGUAAACUUCUUUUGUAUAGGGAUAAACCUACCCUCGUGGGGGUAGCUGAAGGUACUAUACGAAUAAGCACCGGCUAACUCCGUGCCAGCCGCCGCCGUAA
Molecule: ribosomal RNA, 495 nt
Filed under: uncultured bacterium
Lineage: Bacteria
Description: partial 16S ribosomal RNA
Rfam family: Bacterial small subunit ribosomal RNA
Source: RNAcentral